Molecule: ribosomal RNA, 198 nt
Filed under: uncultured bacterium
Lineage: Bacteria
Description: partial 16S ribosomal RNA
Rfam family: Bacterial small subunit ribosomal RNA
Source: RNAcentral
ACGCUCGACACCUACAGGAGGCAGCAGUGGGGAAUAUUGCACAAUGGGGGAAACCCUGAUGCAGCGACGCCGCGUGAAGGAAGAAGUAUUUCGGUAUGUAAACUUCUAUCAGCAGGGAAGAAAAUGACGGUACCUGAGUAAGAAGCACCGGCUAAAUACGUGCCAGCAGCCGCGGUAAUCUGAGCGGGCUGGCAAGGC